GUGGAUUGGGAGUUUGAGAUUAGUAGAUGCAAACCACUAAAUAUAGGAUGGAAAAACGAGGCCCUCCUGGGUAGCACAGGGAACUAUAUUCAAUAUCCCGUGAUAAACGGCAAUGGAAAUGGGAAAAAAAUACGAAAAAGAAUCUGUAUGUGUAUGUAUGUGUGAAUACACGGUGUCACUCUGCUGGGCAGAGAAAUGAACACGACACUGUAAAUCCACUAUACUUCAAUAAAGUAUUUUUUCAGGGGAAGGAAAAAAAGGGCGUCAGGAUUUUACUGCCCCUGGAGUGAGUCACUAUGUGGGCAGUUCAGCAGGUAGGGGAGGAGGCCUGGGUUCCAGAGUCCACAGCCCCAACUGGAGGCAGAAAAGGAGCCCAUCCGCCUCGGAUGCUGCGGCUCCUCCUGCGCUCCACCCCCAGACUCAGGAGCCACCCCCUCAAGCCCAUCCUUGGGGAGCCCCAGCAUCUUAGGGCCACCCCGUCGGGGGUCCCAAUCCGGAGCAGGCCUCUCCCUAGCACGCGUCACCAAGCGCCUGCCUCUGCCUCCGCCAUCUGGGUCUCGGCCUUACCCACCUGCCACACAGAUUUUCCAGGCCCGGCUCUCUCAUGGAAUUGGACCAGGACCCGGACCUCCUCGGCAGACCUGAGUCCGGAAGUUUUAUUACUGCUGUUUGGUGGCCUGGAUGUUCCUCGGCGCUGGAUAAAAGCAAAACUGAGUUGAAUCUGAGUGAGAGUCUAUCUUGACAGCCGUGCCCUACCCGCAGGGCCUCUCUCACCCCGCCCUCCAGCCUUCCCCUCCCGGGCAGUGUGCUGGGGGGGGGGGGCAGGGGGACAGGGACGGGGAGGGGGGUGGGUGCGGUCCUGCAGAUUUUUUUUUUUUAAUUUUUAAAAAUUUUCCCACUGUACAGCAAGGGGAUCAAGUUAUCCUUACAUGUAUACAUUACAAUUACAUUUUUCCCCCACCCUUUCUUCUGUUGCAACUUGAGUAUCUAGACAAAGUUCUCAAGGCUACUCAGCAGGAUCUCCUUGUACAUCUAUUCUAAGUUGUGUCUGUCUGAGAAGCCCAAGCUCCCGAUCCCUCCCACUCCCUCCCCCUCCCAUCGGGCAGCCACAAGUCUUUUCCUCUGGUCCUGCAGAUUUUGAAUUUCAAGUGUGAAAACCCUCCCUGGCCUUCAUCACCAGGGCUUCCUAACGACCGAAGCUUUCAUUGCCUCGAAGAUUUGUUCUUAGGCUAUUUUUAACUUGUCCUUUCUUUUUUUAAAAAAAAAUUACACCGGGGGAACUUAAGGAGCCCCAUUUAGCUUUUUAUCGGAAGAGAAAAUUUGCAGACAUGAACCAGUAAGCGCCACUGAACACGGAGGCUGGCUGGUGCGCUCGUCAAACGUCUCUCCCCUCCUCCACACAAGGGUUUAUUUUUGGACAGCAGCCUCCACACAACAUCAGGAAUCUGCCAGCCAGGGUUCAUCCUGAAUGUGAACGAAGAGGAGAUUUAGGCGAGGAGACAACUCAGGGUUGCAGGGGGCAGGCGGCCGGCAGGAGGGGAGAGCUGCUGUGGGAUGGAAGUCCUGGCCGGGCCUCUAGAAGCUGCUUUUGGCACCUCUGGCCUGCGCGCGUCUGUGCUUCUGACCCGCCCGCAGCAUGAAGGAGAGGAAACCGUGGGACUUCAAAUCCUCGUUCAUUACCGGGUGAAAUUAACACACACCCGCACACCACCCCCACCCCCAACACCAACCACAAGAGCAACCACUAAAACAACAGAAAACAAAUUUAAAAAGAGCUCAAAUGUUCAUGCAGAGCAUCCAGUACGAUGGCAAUAAGAUACAAACUAGUAGGCAUGUAGGAUAAACGGCAAGGUCUCACUGUAUAGCGUGGGGAGCCGUAUAUUCCAUAUCCUGUGAUAAACUAUAGGAAAAGAGUAUGAACAAGAAUAUAUAUAACUGAAUCGCUUGGCUGUACAGUGGACGUUAACAGUACCUUGUAAAUCAACCACAUUUUCACUAAAAACGAAACCAAAAGAUAGUAUGGCGAUAAACAUCUCAGCCACCCAUCCACACAAACCCAAGGUUCUGCCUGGGUCCAAGCUGACUCCGGAAAAAUGUUCUCAGCUGUUCUGCAGGGCAAGAGGUCCAACUCAAGAAUGAGCAUGCUGUCCCCAGCAGGGUCAGAGCCGUCAGGACACAGCCAUUUGCUCUCUGGACUUUCGAGUUAAAGUGUCACAGAGGCUUUUUCAAGCAUGAAAGUCCAGCCCCCGUCUGCUGGAUGCUCACACCUGGCUGUGCGGCUGCUCCAAAGUCCAUGGAUGACCUUCCCGGUCACGGCCCCUGCGUUCUUAGUUGGGGAUCGGCCAUGGCAAGAAGUGCUCUCUGGCCAGAAGUUUCUGCAUGCAGUUGGAGGCACAUAAAUUCUCUGUAACUUAUACUGGUGUGUGGAGGGCGAUACCGGACUUCAGCAGAGGAAAAACGUCCUCCCUGGAUCAAAAGCCCACUCUCCCUGAACCGUGCUAUUGUUAGGAGGUACCAGCCUGCAGGAUCCAUGUUAUUGCAAGCAUUCCAGGAUAUCUCAGAAGGUAGAUGUGCCUAGUCAGGGCUGGAUAAAGUGCUGUUGGACUGUCUUGGGUAAAAUGACAAGAUUUGGGGGAUGCUGAGAAAUAAAGGAGAAUUUGGAGAUUAAAAGGAAUCA
RNAcentral lists this long non-coding RNA (2677 nucleotides) under Sus scrofa (pig). RNAcentral's name for it is "lncRNA (ENSSSCG00035005402.1)". The record is from RNAcentral. Lineage: Eukaryota; Metazoa; Chordata; Mammalia; Artiodactyla; Suidae.